Long non-coding RNA from Ctenopharyngodon idella (grass carp), 1828 nucleotides. RefSeq lists it as uncharacterized. The record is from RefSeq and is a predicted model, not a curated record. The transcript has 3 exons. NCBI's taxonomy places the organism in Eukaryota, Metazoa, Chordata, Actinopteri, Cypriniformes, Xenocyprididae.
CAGUUCUAGUUUUACAUCCAGUUUAGCCUGGUAUCACCAGAAACCUGGACAAACACCCAAACUCCUGUUCUCUGGUGUUGGUAGCAAAGUGUCUGGAGUUUCUGAGAGAUUCACUGAUGGGAGAUCAGGAACGAACUUCAUGCUCAAUAUUAGAAAUGUCCAGCCUGAAGAUGCAGGAGAUUAUUACUGUCAGCAGUAUUAUGAGAAUCCAUUAACACAGUGAUACAGAGCCGUACAAAAACCCCCUUCAGAAAAGAGGAACUGCUGAUUUAGACACACACUGCACACAUAUUAUGCUAUUGAUAUGAGCCAGUUUUUAAAUUCUGAACUCAAAAAAAUCUGGGCCCUGAUUCACAAAACAUUCUUAAGAAUAAAAUUAAUCUUAACUGCUAUUUUCUUAUUAUUUUCAACUUAAGAAAAAAAGUUUAGAAUAUUUAGUUUUCCCAAAAAUACUUCUUAAGAAUGUUCUCAUCUUUUUUCUUAAGACUGUUCUUGAGACAUCUGCAUCUUUUGACAGGCUGUUAUAUUAAAAAUAAACAUUAGUAAAAAUAGUGUGUGACAUAAUUAUAAAUACAGCAAUCUGCAGGCAGUGCAAAAUGAUGGUCUGACGUGUUUUUCAGCAAAAUCAGGACAGUCCACCCGUGAGCCAGCCGAGGAGUGCUGACUCAUCAACAUCAACAUGGAACAGCUCCCACCCAACUCCCCACCCCCAAACUCUUCCCUUCUCAGCCCGGUCCAGACAAUGUCAUUGAUAACACUGUCCCACCCAAUGUCCUGCCCACCCCAUUGUCUCCACACUCAACGCUGGGUCCGCCCAGUCCCCUGGACUCGGCUCCACCUGCACCACUGACUCUCUCCAGCUCCUCGGCUUCGCCUUGAUCCCUUCGGGACCCUUUCCCACCAGCACAGCUCUGUGAUUCAGAUUAUCUGGCUAUACCUCCAGCCUCCAGGUCCAUUUCUCCAUCUCAGCCAGUCAGCUCUUUGGCUCUGUGCUCACUCAUGUCCACCGUAGUCUGCCAUUACUCAGGCUCCCUUUUUCCUCCGUUUAUGCCUUGGUCUCUCAUCAUCCUGGUUUUUGCCAUGGACUUCCAGGCCUCCGGCUGCACAUCAACCCUCCACUCCUUCGGCUCCACCAGGUUCCUUCUUCCCUCCAGCUCUGUCUUGUUCCUCGCUCCCUCCGGUGUCGCCCUGUUCUGCCAGGCCUCCGUCUCUGCCUCGGUCACUCAAGCCUGUGGCGUCACCUUGGACCGUCUGGCCUUCGAUGUUGCCCUAGGCCGUCAUCCUGCUGAUUUAACUGGGGGCUCCGCUUCAUCUGGUUUUGGCUCAGUCGGUCAGCCUUCAGGCUUCAUCAAGGAAACCUGUCAGGGCUCAAUCUCAGCUCCUCUCACUUUCUUCUCCACAUUAGUGUUCCCCUCAGCAAGUUCCUCUAGUUCCUUGUCCUUCAUCAGCUCCACGUACACCUCUAAGACUCCCUCCCUCCACUCUGGGACAGUUGUGCACGGCACAAGGAUGCGCCUAGUGGGAGGAGGAGUAAUGUCAGGUUCACUUUAAAUAUUUUCAAAGUAGAUGAGGGGAUCCAGAGAAGGUGACUGGAGAUGGAGGACUUGGAGAAAGGAGAUCAGAGAAUGGAGAACUGGAGACGAAGAAUAACACAGUUCUAACAGAAAAUCACAGCAUGCUCUUGUGUGAAUGAGAUCAGAGAAGCAGAAGUGAGACGUCAUCAGUCAGAAGGAUGAAGCAGAAGGCAGAGGAGAGACUGAGCGGAUCUACUCUGAACACUGAUCUCUCCUCAGUUCUGCAGUGACUGCAGGCUGGCCGCUCCGUGUGG